This 219-nucleotide unclassified non-coding RNA is filed under the name Hevea brasiliensis (rubber tree). The record is from RNAcentral. Lineage: Eukaryota; Viridiplantae; Streptophyta; Magnoliopsida; Malpighiales; Euphorbiaceae.
UAGUUAACCUUGGAAGAGCCUGCAUAAGUUAUUCAACAGAAAUUUUACUUGUACAGUUUCUCAUUGUUGGUUAAUUCCAGGGAAUUCUACUCCAAUUUAAAUAACAGGACUAAAGGCUUGAAAUUGAUAAAAUUGCAAAGUUCUUAAUACCAUAUUCUAGUUUCUAGUUAGUGAACUUAAUAUCCAUCACUUCCCCCUUCUGAAAUGCACUAACUAGAA